RNAcentral lists this unclassified non-coding RNA (233 nucleotides) under uncultured fungus. Its description in RNAcentral is "sequence contains ITS1, 5.8S rRNA gene". The stretch from base 185 to 233 matches the Rfam family "5.8S ribosomal RNA", at positions 1 to 49 of the family's 154-position model. Lineage: Eukaryota; Fungi. The record is from RNAcentral.
UCUCCGUAGGUGAACCUGCGGAGGGAUCAUUACUGAGUGAGGGCCCCCGGCCCGACCUCCAACCCUUUGUGUAUCUCGACCCUGUUGCCUCGGGGGCGACCCGGCCUUCGGGCGUCGGGGCCCCCGGUGGCUCACACCUCAACUCUUGCAUCUGUGCGUCUGAGUAACAUAUUGAAUCAAUCAAAACUUUCAACAACGGAUCUCUUGGUUCUGGCAUCGAUGAAGAACGCAGC